GCGGGAAUAGCUCAGUUGGUAGGCACGACCUUGCCAAGGUCGGGGUCGCAGUUCGAAAUCUCGUUUCCCACUCCA
This 75-nucleotide transfer RNA is filed under the name Salmonella enterica subsp. enterica. Its description in RNAcentral is "tRNA-Gly". It matches the Rfam family "tRNA". From Rfam's summary of the family: Transfer RNA (tRNA) molecules are approximately 80 nucleotides in length. Lineage: Bacteria; Pseudomonadati; Pseudomonadota; Gammaproteobacteria; Enterobacterales; Enterobacteriaceae. The record is from RNAcentral.